RNAcentral lists this ribosomal RNA (510 nucleotides) under uncultured bacterium. RNAcentral describes it as "partial 16S ribosomal RNA". It matches the Rfam family "Bacterial small subunit ribosomal RNA", at positions 28 to 507 of the family's 1533-position model. The record is from RNAcentral.
GACGAACGCUGGCGGCGUGCUUAACACAUGCAAGUCGAACGAAGAGCGAUGGAAGCUUGCUUCUCUCAAUCUUAGUGGCGAACGGGUGAGUAACGCGUAAUCAACCUGCCCUUCAGAGGGGGACAACAGUUGGAAACGACUGCUAAUACCGCAUACGAUCUAAUCUCGGCAUCGAGGAUAGAUGAAAGGUGGCCUCUACAUGUAAGCUAUCACUGAAGGAGGGGAUUGCGUCUGAUUAGCUAGUUGGAGGGGUAACGGCCCACCAAGGCGAUGAUCAGUAGCCGGUCUGAGAGGAUGAACGGCCACAUUGGGACUGAGACACGGCCCAGACUCCUACGGGAGGCAGCAGUGGGGAAUCUUCCGCAAUGGACGAAAGUCUGACGGAGCAACGCCGCGUGAGGGAUGACGGCCUUCGGGUUGUAAAGCUCUGUUAAUCGGGACGAAAGGCCUUCUUGCGAAUAGUGAGAAGGAUUGACGGUACCGGAAUAGAAAGCCACGGCUAACUACGUG